CAGCCGCCGCGGUAAUACGAAGGGGGCUAGCGUUGUUCGGAAUCACUGGGCGUAAAGCGCACGUAGGCGGACUUUUAAGUCAGGGGUGAAAUCCCAAGGCUCAACCUUGGAACUGCCUUUGAUACUGGAAGUCUUGAGUUCGGGAGAGGUGAGUGGAACUGCGAGUGUAGAGGUGAAAUUCGUAGAUAUUCGCAAGAACACCAGUGGCGAAGGCGGCUCACUGGCCCGAUACUGACGCUGAGGUGCGAAAGCGUGGGGAGCAAACAGGAUUAGAUACCCCUGUAGUCCCUGUCUCUUAUAC
Molecule: ribosomal RNA, 301 nt
Filed under: uncultured bacterium
Lineage: Bacteria
Description: partial 16S ribosomal RNA
Rfam family: Bacterial small subunit ribosomal RNA
Source: RNAcentral